CGCAGCCGCGGUAAUUCCAGCUCCAAUAGCGUAUAUUAAAGUUGUUGCAGUUAAAAAGCUCGUAGUUGAAUUUCGGGAUCAAUAUAUCGGUCGUGCCUUUGGUACGUACUGGUAUCAUUGAUUUCUCCUUUCUGACGAAUCAUGAUGUCAUUAAUUUGGUGUUAUGAGGAGUUAGGACAUGUUACUUUGAAAAAAAUUAGAGUGUUUAAAGCAGGCAUUAGCUUGAAUACAUUAGCAUGGAAUAAUGAAAUAGGACGUUUGACCCUAUUUUGUUGGUUUUUAGGAUCGACGUAAUGAUUAAUAGGGAUAGUUGGGGGCAUUAGUAUUCAAUUGUCAGAGGCGAAAUUCUUGGAUUUAUUGAAGACUAACUACUGCGAAAGCAUUUGCCAAGGAUGUUUUCAUUAAUCAAGAACGAAAGUUAGGGGAUCGAAGACGAUCAGAUACCGUCGUAGUCUUAACCAUACACUAUGCCGACUAGGGAUCGGAUGAUGUUAAUUUUUUAAUGACUCAUUCGGCGCCU
This 520-nucleotide ribosomal RNA is filed under the name uncultured Glomus. Its description in RNAcentral is "SSU rRNA". It matches the Rfam family "Eukaryotic small subunit ribosomal RNA", at positions 569 to 1088 of the family's 1831-position model. Lineage: Eukaryota; Fungi; Glomeromycota; Glomeromycetes; Glomerales; Glomeraceae. The record is from RNAcentral.